GCGAGGAUGGCGGAAUUGGCAGACGCGCAUGUUUGAGGGGCAUGUGGUCGCAAGACUGUGAGGGUUCAACUCCCUCUCCUCGCA
Molecule: transfer RNA, 84 nt
Filed under: Candidatus Omnitrophota bacterium
Lineage: Bacteria; Pseudomonadati; Candidatus Omnitrophota
Description: tRNA-Leu
Rfam family: tRNA
About the family: Transfer RNA (tRNA) molecules are approximately 80 nucleotides in length.
Source: RNAcentral